AGAGUUUGAUCCUGGCUCAGAGUGAACGCUGGCGGAAUGCUUAACACAUGCAAGUCGCACGGGGGGCUUCGGCCUUCAGUGGCGGACGGGUGAGUAACGCGUAGGAACGUAUCCAAAGGUGGGGGAUAACCCUGGGAAACUGGGGCUAAUACCGCAUAUGGGCUGAGGCCCAAAGCCGAAAGGCGCCCCUGGAGCGGCCUGCGUCCGAUUAGGUAGUUGGUUGGGUAAUGGCUGACCAAGCCUGCGAUCGGUAGCUGGUCUGAGAGGGCGGCCAGCCACACUGGGACUGAGACACGGCCCAGACUCCUACGGGAGGCAGCAGUGGGGAAUAUUGGACAAUGGGCGCAAGCCUGAUCCAGCAAUUCCGCGUGGAUGAAGAAGGUCUUCGGAUUGUAAAGUCCUUUCGGCAGGGACGAUGAUGACGGUACCUGCAGAAGAAGCCCCGGCUACUUCGUGCCAGCAGCCGCGGUAAUACGAAGGGGGCUAGCGUUACUCGGAAUCAUUGGGCGUAAAAGGCGCGUAGCGGCGCAUACAGUCAGGCGUGAAAUUCCUGGGCUCAACCUGGGAACUGCGCUUGAUACGUAUGGGCUAGAGGAUGGAAGAGGGUCGUGGAAUUCCCAGUGUAGAGGUGAAAUUCGUAGAUAUUGGGAAGAACACCGGUGGCGAAGGCGGCGACCUGGUCCAUUACUGNNNNUAGGCGCGACAGCGUGGGGAGCAAACAGGAUUAGAUACCCUAGUAGUCC
RNAcentral lists this ribosomal RNA (743 nucleotides) under uncultured bacterium. Its description in RNAcentral is "bacterial SSU rRNA". It matches the Rfam family "Bacterial small subunit ribosomal RNA", at positions 8 to 796 of the family's 1533-position model. The record is from RNAcentral.